GGUAUGAUUGCCAAUGAGACAACUCUCCACAAGACACCAAAUGACACAGAAAUUAACAACUAUAGGUCACCGUACGGCCUUCAACAAUGAGCAAAGCCCAUACCGCAUAAUCAGCUAUAAAAGGCCCCGAAAUGACAAAUGUAAACAAUUCAAACGAGAAAACUAACGGCAUAAUUUAUGUACAAAAAAUGAACGAAGAACAAAUACCGGUAUGUAACACAUCAACAGACGACAACCACUGAAUUACAGGCUCCUGACUUGGGACAGGUGCAUAUUCGUACGGGAACAUAUUAAUGUGAAAUGAAUAUUAACCCUGUUUUGUAAUAGACCGACACCCUGAGUCGGAUUUUUAACAUGCUACUUCGCAGAAAUCCAUUUCACCUUACGGUGUUACCCGGACAGAUUAUUCUGAUUCCGAGCCGAACAAGUCUUUGAUUUUACUCCUUAAUUUAGCAGGGAAGCAGCAAAUACCAAUUUUAAAUUCUUUGGUUUUGAACCGGCCGGAAUUCGAACCUACGACCAGCAACACUAGAGGCUAACAUGCUACCAUGAAAGCACCGCCACUAGACAGUUACCCGUAAUAUAAAAGGAAAGCCGUUCAGAUAUACAACUCCGUAAACAGGGCUAACAUACUGACCAUUGAUUUUUUUUUGGGGUGAUUGCGGGGGAAAAGGGGGGGGCAUUUUUUUUGUUUUUUUGUAAAUGUUUGAUUCCAAGUUUCUUGAAAGAUAUUUUAUCUUUUUCAGGAGGGAAUCAAAAUAAUUGUUUCCAUUGAAAAUGAGAGAAAAAAUAAAACAAUAAUGAAAUUAAAAAAAAAAACCAUAUUAUUUUUAAAAAAAAAGAGUUUUUUCAUUAAAGUCGAAAAAUAUGUUUGUCCUGGAACAAGGAAGUACACGUCCUCCUGCCCACACUUCAUGUUUACAUCACGAUGACCGCGAGGGCAUUCCGAUGUAUUGUCG
Molecule: long non-coding RNA, 959 nt
Filed under: Mytilus galloprovincialis (Mediterranean mussel)
Lineage: Eukaryota; Metazoa; Mollusca; Bivalvia; Mytilida; Mytilidae
Source: RNAcentral